Molecule: long non-coding RNA, 730 nt
Filed under: Setaria viridis
Lineage: Eukaryota; Viridiplantae; Streptophyta; Magnoliopsida; Poales; Poaceae
Description: long non-coding RNA (SVIR_LNC008923)
Source: RNAcentral
AAUCUUAAACGAGCGAUCAAUUAAGUAGCAUGUCUCAGGCACAAAUUCUAACAGCAGUCAUAUCAGAUAUUCAGAUCAGAGAUCGGAACGAAAUGGUUUCUUGCCCCUCUUGAUAAUUUACACGCAUGGCACAUUCAUCGGACCCUCACACACACAUUGUUUCCGGGUAAGAUCAAACGCAGCAGCAGCCUCUCACAGGCUGGGCGUCCUCUCGGCGGCGCCGGAGAUGACGGUGAGCAGGUUGUUGCCGAAGGGGUCGCUGAGGUGCUUGGCGAGGUUCUCGACGGGGCCCUCGCCGGUGACGUACGCCUGGAUGAAGAAGGCGAACAUGGAGAACAUGGCGAGCCGGCCGUUCUUGAUCUCCUUCACCUUGAGGAUGGCGGCCUGGUCGGGGUCGCUGGCCAGACCCAAUGGGUCGAACGGGCCGCCCGGGUGGAGCUUGUCCUCCAGGUCCAGCCCGUUGAUGAUCCGGUAGUACUCGGCGCCGCCGACGAGGACGACCUCGGCGAUGACGGCAACCACCAGGUUGAUGGGGAUGCUGUUGCCGAAGUAGCUGAGGGUGUUGCCGUCCAGGAGCAGGGCGCCGGUCUGCAUUGUAUUACGGUGGCGCCGCCAUUAGUUCACAGUUCAGAAUUUCAGUUUCAGAGAUUGCAAUUGCAACUAUUCUACCACUGAAAUGUGUGGUCUUUGUGAAACAAUGUUGAGUUCUUUUCUUUUUUCAUAAAUUCAA